This is a transfer RNA of 89 nucleotides. It matches the Rfam family "tRNA". From Rfam's summary of the family: Transfer RNA (tRNA) molecules are approximately 80 nucleotides in length. The record is from Rfam.
GGACUCGUAGGGUAGAGGAUAUCCUAGCGGGCUUCGGAGAGGCUCCUCGAAGAAACCCGCUGACCUGGGUUCGAAUCCCAGCGGGUCCG